This 1345-nucleotide ribosomal RNA is filed under the name uncultured bacterium. RNAcentral describes it as "bacterial SSU rRNA". It matches the Rfam family "Bacterial small subunit ribosomal RNA", at positions 28 to 1381 of the family's 1533-position model. The record is from RNAcentral.
GAUAAACGCUGGCGGCGCACAUAAGACAUGCAAGUCGAACGAACUUAAUUGAGAGCUUGCUCUCAAAGCGGUUAGUGGCGGACUGGUGAGUAACACGUAAGCAACCUGCCUAUUAGAGGGGAAUAACAGCGAGAAAUCGUUGCUAAUACCGCAUAUGCUGCGAGUAUCGCAUGAUACAAGCAGGAAAGGAGCAAUCCGCUAAUAGAUGGGCUUGCGUCUGAUUAGUUAGUUGGUGGGGUAACGGCCUACCAAGACGAUGAUCAGUAGCCGGACUGAGAGGUUGAACGGCCACAUUGGGACUGAGAUACGGCCCAGACUCCUACGGGAGGCAGCAGUCGGGAAUAUUGCGCAAUGGAGGAAACUCUGACGCAGUGACGCCGCGUGCAGGAAGAAGGUUUUCGGAUUGUAAACUGCUUUUAACAGGAAAGAAAAAAAUGACGGUACCUGUUGAAUAAGCUCCGGCUAACUACGUGCCAGCAGCCGCGGUAAUACGUAGGGAGCGAGCGUUAUCCGGAUUUAUUGGGUGUAAAGGGUGCGUAGACGGAAAUGCAAGUUAGUUGUGAAAUACCUCGGCUUAACUGAGGAACUGCAACUAAAACUAUAUUUCUUGAGUAUCGGAGGGGUUUGUGGAAUUCCUAGUGUAGCGGUGAAAUGCGUAGAUAUUAGGAAGAACACCGGUGGCGAAGGCGACAAACUGGACGAUAACUGACGUUGAGGCACGAAAGUGUGGGGAGCAAACAGGAUUAGAUACCCUGGUAGUCCACACCGUAAACGAUGGAUACUAGGUGUUGGCAAUGAAUAAUUGUCGGUGCCGGCGCUAACGCAAUAAGUAUCCCACCUGGGGAGUACGACCGCAAGGUUGAAACUCAAAGGAAUUGACGGGGGCCCGCACAAGCAGUGGAGUAUGUGGUUUAAUUCGAAGAUACGCGAAGAACCUUACCAAGGCUUGACAUAUAGAGGAAUAAGUAGGAAACUAUUUAGCUCUUCGGAGUCUCUAUACAGGUGGUGCAUGGUUGUCGUCAGCUCGUGUCGUGAGAUGUUAGGUUAAGUCCUGCAACGAGCGCAACCCCUAUUUCUAGUUGCCAGCACGUAAUGGUGGGAACUCUAGAAAGACUGCCGGUGAUAAAUCGGAGGAAGGUGGGGACGACGUCAAAUCAUCAUGCCCUUUACGUCUUGGGCAACACACGUACUACAAUGGCCGUUACAGAGAGAAGCAAUACAGUGAUGUGGAGCAAAACUCAAAAAGCGGUCUCAGUUCGGACUGUAGGCUGAAACUCGCCUACACGAAGUCGGAAUUGCUAGUAAUGGCAGGUCAGAAUACUGCCGUGAAUACGUUCCCGGGCCU